ACUUUCAGCGACGGAUGUCUUGGCUCCCACAACGAUGAAGAACGCAGCGAAAUGCGAUACGUCUUGCGACUUGCAGAAUCCAGUGAAUCAUCAAAACUUUGAACGCACCUUGCGCUUCCGGGCUAUUCCUGGGAGCAUGCUUGUCGGAGUGUC
Molecule: ribosomal RNA, 153 nt
Filed under: Hormosira banksii
Lineage: Eukaryota; Phaeophyceae; Fucales; Hormosiraceae
Description: 5.8S ribosomal RNA
Rfam family: 5.8S ribosomal RNA
About the family: 5.8S ribosomal RNA (5.8S rRNA) is a component of the large subunit of the eukaryotic ribosome. It is transcribed by RNA polymerase I as part of the 45S precursor that also contains 18S and 28S rRNA.
Source: RNAcentral